This 453-nucleotide ribosomal RNA is filed under the name uncultured Bacteroides sp. Its description in RNAcentral is "partial 16S ribosomal RNA". It matches the Rfam family "Bacterial small subunit ribosomal RNA", at positions 341 to 792 of the family's 1533-position model. The record is from RNAcentral. Lineage: Bacteria; Pseudomonadati; Bacteroidota; Bacteroidia; Bacteroidales; Bacteroidaceae.
ACGGAAGGCAGCAGUGAGGAAUAUUGGUCAAUGGGCGCAAGCCUGAACCAGCCAAGUAGCGUGAAGGAUGACUGCCCUAUGGGUUGUAAACUUCUUUUAUAUUGGAAUAAAGUGAGCCACGUGUGGUUUUUUGUAUGUACCAUAUGAAUAAGCAUCGGCUAAUUCCGUGCCAGCAGCCGCGGUAAUACGGAAGAUGCGAGCGUUAUCCGGAUUUAUUGGGUUUAAAGGGAGCGUAGGCGGGUCCUUAAGUCAGUGGUCAAAGCGUGUGGCUCAACCAUACCACGCCGUUGAUACUGGGGACCUUGAGUGCACAUAAGGAUGGUGGAAUUCGUCGUGUAGCGGUGAAAUGCUUAGAUAUGACGAAGAACUCCGAUUGCGAAGGCAGCUGUCCGGGGUGUAACUGACGCUAAUGCUCGAAAGUGCGGGGAUCGAACAGGAUUAGAUACCCUGGUA